CACCCUUUAGGGACCAAUGUACCCAAUAGCUCAUGGAAGAAAAAAAUCAAAUCAGGACAUCCUUGGUUUCCAGGCUACCGAAAUAUGGAACGAAAACUUUAGGAAGUGUUUUGCAACCUAUGCCAAAUGGAACGGCUGUUAGUUUAGCAGGAAAUAACGGUGGCAAAAAUUUUGGCAAGCACAAUGGCACUGUUCGCAUGUCUUCCUUUUCUUUCAACUGGAAAAAAUCAAAUAAAUAUCAACUUCAUGAUCAAAAUGGGAGAGAGACCAGCUCUAAACAUAACUGUAAUGAAAAAUUAAUUGAUUCUGAGAAAUAUCCUCAAUCUCAAGGAGCGUUGGGUAAUGAUGUGCUCAGGGUGGGUUUGAACAGUACUACUUCGGUUUCAUCAAAAGCAGCAAAGCAAACCAAUAUGUUUGUAUCUUCUACUGAGGAGUUAAACCCAAAGUCUUUGCCUGGACUCUCUAGUUCAGCAAAAUUUGCCAAAGGUACCCUGUCAGGAAGGACCUCGUAUUCCGGACUCAAUGCUCCAAAAUCACAUUUAAAUGGAUUUUAUGGAAACAGGCCGGUGGUAGGUUUGCAGAGACCUAGAGCUAAUUCCAAUGCCACAAGGACAAGUUCAGGAGAAAGCCUGGCACAAUCUACAGACAAUAGCAAGGCUUUUUCCUGUGAAAAAAUGGUAAGAUCACAAAGUUUUUCACAUUCAGUUCAGAAUUCGUUCCUUCCUGCUGCAUCUUUAACCAGGUCACAUUCCUUUAAUAAAGCUGUGGAUCUUACAAGGCCUUAUCACAGUCAAAAUCUAGCUGCCAGGACAUCUCAGAGGUCGACUUUGUUGUCAAGAAAUGCACAUCAGUUGGAUAUACCCAAUGGAAAUGAACCUAUGAAGUAUGGAUUUACCAGGCCCUACUCUGGUCUGUUGGCUCCUUGUUCAAAGAAGCCCCCACUGUCAAAUGGAUCUGGGUCAGCACAUUCUUUUGGAUACAGAUUAAGUCGGCCUUCUCUGAUGAAGCCUACCAGGCAGCAAUUUGCUGGAAAUAUCGUUGUGGAUGACAGCAAAAGUACAACUCCUGAUACAUGCAUUGUGGAGAACUCUGAAAUGUCAACAAAUAUUAAUAGAGCAAUUGAGAGAAACAGUAUUAUAGAGAGCAAUGCUCAAAGAACAGGAUCUGAUGAGGGCCUGCAUGAAAGUAUGGGAAAGCAUGGGUCGAAAGUCAUGUGUAUGAGUGAUGAUGGAGAUGAAAUAUCUAUAUCUUCUUUGUCAUCCUCUGAAAAAAAUGAUUUGAGCGAAGACUUCAGUGACGAUUUCAUAGAUAUAGAAGACCCAAACAGAACUAUGCAAAUACAGCAAAAGGAGAGCUCCCUUCAAGAAUUAGAGCAUGGGCGUAUGUCGUCGAUUGAGCCAUUCACUUCUCUCAAGGAAAGCGGAGGAUCUUGCAGUAAUGCUGAUGACUGGCUUGAUAUAAAUGUGCCUGCAGUAGAUGACAACAGUGAAAGCGCAAAGCGUACUGGUGAGAAUGUGAUUUCUCCAGAGAUGAAUUACAGAGCUGGGUCCUCUUUUGAACUUUCUCCAUCUGACAGCUCUGAUGGCACGUAUAUGUGGGAUGAAGAAGGGUUGGAACCUAUUGGAAGUGUUCAUCCAUGUGGAAGUUAUGAAUCUUCAGAAAUGAACAGCAUA
This is a non-coding RNA of Leptosomus discolor (cuckoo roller), 1673 nucleotides long. The record is from RefSeq and is a predicted model, not a curated record. NCBI's taxonomy places the organism in Eukaryota, Metazoa, Chordata, Aves, Leptosomiformes, Leptosomidae.